UCCGUAGGCGGUGUGGCAAGUCGGGAGUGAAAUCUCUGGGCUUAACCCAGAGGCUGCUUCCGAAACUGCUGUGCUAGGAGUGUGAGAGAGGCGAGUGGAAUUGCGGGUGUAGCGGUGAAAUGCGUAGAUAUCCGCAGGAACAUCCGAGGCGAAAGCGGCUCGCUGGAUCACAACUGACGCUGAGGGACGAAAGCUAGGGGAGCAAACAGGAUUAGAUACCCUGGUAGUCCUAGCCCUAAACCAUCAGGACUUGGGGUUUGCCCUGUACGGGGCAAGUCCCGUAGCUAACGCGUUAAGUCCUGCGCCUGGGGAGUACGGUCGCAAGACUGAA
RNAcentral lists this ribosomal RNA (331 nucleotides) under uncultured bacterium. RNAcentral's name for it is "bacterial SSU rRNA". It matches the Rfam family "Bacterial small subunit ribosomal RNA", at positions 568 to 898 of the family's 1533-position model. The record is from RNAcentral.